GAUGAACGCUGGCGGCGUGCCUAAUACAUGCAAGUCGAGCGAACAGACGAGGAGCUUGCUCCUCUGACGUUAGCGGCGGACGGGUGAGUAACACGUGGAUAACCUACCUAUAAGACUGGGAUAACUUCGGGAAACCGGAGCUAAUACCGGAUAAUAUAUUGAACCGCAUGGUUCAAUAGUGAAAGACGGUUUUGCUGUCACUUAUAGAUGGAUCCGCGCCGCAUUAGCUAGUUGGUAAGGUAACGGCUUACCAAGGCAACGAUGCGUAGCCGACCUGAGAGGGUGAUCGGCCACACUGGAACUGAGACACGGUCCAGACUCCUUCGGGAGGCAGCAGUAGGGAAUCUUCCGCAAAGGGCGAAAGCCUGACGGAGCAACGCCGCGUGAGUGAUGAAGGUCUUCGGAUCGUAAAACUCUGUUAUUAGGGAAGAACAAAUGUGUAAGUAACUAUGCACGUCUUGACGGUACCUAAUCAGAAAGCCACGGCUAACUACGUG
This 497-nucleotide ribosomal RNA is filed under the name uncultured bacterium. RNAcentral's name for it is "partial 16S ribosomal RNA". It matches the Rfam family "Bacterial small subunit ribosomal RNA", at positions 28 to 507 of the family's 1533-position model. The record is from RNAcentral.